GUUGGUUUCCUUCUGGCUGCUGUUGGUGUGUGUGUGGGGCAGAAGAUCUCCAGGACAAUGUGGUGAAACAGGGCUUGCUCCAGGUCUGGAGGGGCCACUGGUAUAUGAGCACCAAGCGGCAUCCACCUGUGUUUAAUCUGGAUAAGACUUUCAGCUACCUGUUCAGGCCUGAUAUUGAGGGUCCAAAGGAUCUCUAAUAGGAGCACCUAUGAUAUGUAACAAUAGCCUUUCAUAUGCUUAGAAAAAAACCCCAAUAAAUUACUGAUGAGUGUUGCAUGCACAUAAGGAUGGGGGGGAAGAGGAGAAAUUUUUGAGGAACCCUCUGCUUCCCUGGUAUACCCUGAAAAUAUAUCCCUGAGGGUCAGAGGAUCUUCAGGGACAGAUUUAUAUCAGGCACUUGGGACAGCAGAUUGAAGGGGAGUUUGGUAAAAAUCACUCCUUCCCUAUUUGCAUGAACAAAAUGCUUUCCAAUGUACAUGAGAAUAAUCAGAAUGCGAGCCACAUAUUUUAAAAGCCAAUGUGCAAUAUUUUCCCCUAUAAUAUAGAAUGUGUAUUCUGUAUUACUGAUGCCUCAAAGCACUUGAUACAAGCUUGGCUUUUCUGUAUUUAGAAAUGCUAGAAAAGAGACAUUAAAUUUACAUCUUUGUUUUCUACUGCA
Molecule: long non-coding RNA, 658 nt
Organism: Hemicordylus capensis (graceful crag lizard)
Lineage: Eukaryota; Metazoa; Chordata; Lepidosauria; Squamata; Cordylidae
Exons: 4
Source: RefSeq, a predicted model, not a curated record